This 1224-nucleotide long non-coding RNA is filed under the name Sarcophilus harrisii (Tasmanian devil). RNAcentral describes it as "lncRNA (ENSSHAG00000028212.1)". The record is from RNAcentral. Lineage: Eukaryota; Metazoa; Chordata; Mammalia; Dasyuromorphia; Dasyuridae.
AAAGAAGAAAAACGCCUGCAGUGCAGACAGCCCCCAAUUCUAAUAAGAGAGCAGGGUUAACUUUUAUCUCUAUAUUUCAUGCAGCUUCGAUAGUCCUGGGGCAGCCCAGAAUCCCUUCUCUUAUCCCUUUGCAGAGUUGGUUUCUUAUCAUUUUCUCCUAUUCUUUUCUUCUUUCCCAGACUUCCUCACCUUUUCUCAUUUUUCUUCUGCUUUCUUGUUCUUCCCUGCUCUGCUUCUGUUAUCUAUUUUCCUUCUUUUUCUUCUCAUUCUCUUGUCACAGUCACUUCCCAAAAGACGUGAUUUCUUGCCCUGAUGACUGAAAACUGUCACAAGCAAUAUUCCUAAAAGAGAAAACUCAGACAAUUCCAUAAAAAGUAAUAACAGAAAGUAAGCCUUGGAAAAACUGCAAAAUGAAAAUAAUUUUGAUAAACAUAUGCAUUGGCAUCUAGUGUCCUUGCAUCUACAAACAGCCAGGUCAGACACUGAAAUCUUAGGGUCUACUCUAAGAUUUCAAACUUCAGGAGUUUUCUAUAAAUCUCCCCAAACCAGCUGCACCAGGGAAAAGUUAUGGUGCAGUUGCCUCUGAGAAACCCUGAGAAGCAUUUUCUAGAUCAGGGAUAAAUUGGUAAUGUGUGUGACAUCUUAAAUGAAGGAUUCUUAAUCUGUUUGUGUGUUAUGGAUCCCUCUGUCAGUCUGUUAAAACCUAGAAUAAUCCUUCUCAGAAUUAUAAUUUUAUACUUUCUCAGAGAAAAAAAAAUCUUUAUUAUAUCCCUUUUCAGAAUAAUAUUGUAAAUUCAAAAGAUAAAAUAUAUAAAAUCUCAAAGGAAAUCAAUAAUACUGAGGAACUUGUAUAUUUUUUUUUAAGUUCAAGGACCCCAAAAUAAGAAUACCAGCCUUAAAUCAUCUCAUAUGCCCUGACAAGCAACAACCAAUGGAAUGGUACAUAAUAACCCAUAUUUCAACGAAGAGCAGUAAUUUUAACUCCAGUUUGCUGACUAGCUCUCCAAUUCCCACCGGAUAGAAUAUCAUAAUCAUCCUUUCUAAAUGUGAAUGUCUACUCAUCUCUACUAUUCCAAAAGAUUUUCUUGGAGUGGAUUCAUACAGGGAUGAAAAUUCAAAGCAAAACACUGACAAAAAUGUACAUGUACAAUCACUUUGAAAAGAUUUCUUUUGACUUGUAGGAGUUGAUGCAGAGUGAACAAAACUGAACUAAAGGAACAAUAU